GUGACAAUGAUUUUGCAAAGGAAAUUGUAGCCUAUAUGCUGUGUGUUGGUUUUUCUUUUUUUCCUUAUUGUCAUUGCAUUCCAUUUGGAACUUCUGAAGCUUAAGAUAUUGAACACAAGAUUCUCUGCCAGCAUUUCAUGGAGCCAAUCUUAAUAUAUAAGUAUGAAAGCCUAUGAAAGGAAAAGCGAUUGGUUUCUAAACAAAACUAGCAUUUGGAG
This 218-nucleotide unclassified non-coding RNA is filed under the name Hevea brasiliensis (rubber tree). Lineage: Eukaryota; Viridiplantae; Streptophyta; Magnoliopsida; Malpighiales; Euphorbiaceae. The record is from RNAcentral.